RNAcentral lists this microRNA precursor (94 nucleotides) under Podarcis lilfordi (Lilford's wall lizard). The record is from RNAcentral. Lineage: Eukaryota; Metazoa; Chordata; Lepidosauria; Squamata; Lacertidae.
UUUGUGUGUGUGUGUGUGUGUACAUAUAUAUUUGUGUGUGUGUGUGUGUGCACACACACACACACACACACACACACACACACACACACACAUA